RNAcentral lists this long non-coding RNA (232 nucleotides) under Homo sapiens (human). RNAcentral's name for it is "non-protein coding lnc-ANKRD12-2:1". Lineage: Eukaryota; Metazoa; Chordata; Mammalia; Primates; Hominidae. The record is from RNAcentral.
AGUACCUUAGUGCUCAGAACAUUGAGUAAUAAAUUACAGGUCUGUUGCCCAUGCUGUAUAACCUAUUGAGUGACAGUCAGUCUGAUUUUCCAAUGAGGAACCUUGUCACUAGUUUUUGAAUCAGUUCAGGAAGCAUGUUAUAAAUCAGUUGUAGGAAAUGUCUUUCAUUACAAAACAUCAAAGACAGUUUACACACAUUUUGGUUAGGGGGAAGGUGGCUUUAUCUGUCGGA